CUUCGAUCCAUGAAAAAAUUAUUCGCUCGCACUCGGUGAUUUUGGUCUAAUUUUGCACCUUUCCAGGUAUUUCCUCCCCGCAGUUUUAGCUGAAAAGAAAAGAGAGAUAGAAAAACGUUAGAAUAGUACUAAAAUCUGCCCAUAUUAGCGCUUUUGAGGACUUAUUUUUGCGAAAAUAAGGUGAAAAACUUACCAAAAUUGCACCAUCCAUCUGAGCCAUUGUUUACAUUGAAAGCUUUCGAAAUUUUUAUAAUCGCUGACGUAUCGCGUGAGUGAACGUCACUCAAUGAGUUCCAUUGUGUGAAUUUGAGGCUGUUCCAAUCACAUGCUGAUUGAGAAAUAGGCUAUUCGAGAAUAUCAAAAAUCCAAAUAAAAUAUUAAUAAUUCCGAUAUUUCACAAUGAAAUAGAAAAACAAACGUUUGCGUUCAUCUCUUUGAUCUCAAAAUGAAUGAUUUUCAUUCAUUUUGAGAAGGGACGAUGGGGUAAUGUAACCGUUUGUAACCUAAAAAUAAUGUGUCUCCGACACAUUUGCAAAACCGACUACAUCCCUGGUAAGGGGUGCUCAUUAACUCUCAUCGAGAGACGUCAAAACAAUCGCCACUCAGGGGUUCGUCCCAUUUUACCUCCCAUCCCUCUCACUACGCGGCUACUCUCUCCCGAGAGAUACCCAUAGGCGCGGAUGAACAGGCUUUUGUUAUUGCGAGGAAGUGUUAUCACCCAAUCAACGUCGCACACGUCAGUUCCGUUUGAUGACGUGCUUAUAUAUUGGUGUGACGGUCGGAUGAACUUUAUGUAAUUCGAGGUGGUGAAGAUUUGGCCUAGCAAGUGCAGAGUCUUUCUGUCCGUGAACGCCUUAGGGCAAAGAAGUGCGCGUCGUGUUCUUAACGUAAAAAGUAUGGUUUUUGUGCAAAGUGGUUCAACAAAUUCUAAAAUUUUUACUAAUAUUACAGGGUUAAAAACGAAGAUACGUCUACAAGUUAAAAAAAGGACGUUACAAACAAAGAGUUAAAAGUGGCUAAAACUACAAAUAUGAAAGUUUAUUAAAAAUAUUAAAAAGUAGCUACAAUCACAGCUUAAGUGUUAAAACGACUACAAAAACGAAAAAUAUUAAAACUAAUAGUACGCAAAAAGCUUAAAAACCACGUAAAACGACAACGGCGGAAAACAAAUAACAAGUUAAAAACAGUUUACGAAGAAAAAGGUAAAAUUUAUAAAAUGUUUGUAUAUAUUAAUGAAAAUUGUUAAAAAUAGUUAUAAAAAGAACAUGCGGUUAAAAACAUUGCAUCACAGGUGUAGUAAUUUCUUUGGUUAGGUCCAGAGGACCUUUUUCUUUUUGCUUUUCAUCCUACAAGCUUCGGAUCGACCUCGUGGCAGCGGUUGUGGGCCGAACCAACACCACCAACAAAAAUACGACAGAAAUACGGACAGAAAACAUCUUCGACCCGGUGGACAUAACCUCAACUGAUUCCACCUGACAAUCACGCUGACUCUGGCCUGCAUCAUCUCGAUUCAACACCAUUUCGGGACGCCGAAACUGGUGAGAAUCCGCCAGAGUAGCUGCCCGCUUCGAGAAGGAAGAAUUUCCGGAGUUGAAUCCAACACAAACAAGAAGAAAACUACACCAAAAUCGCAAGUAUAAACUAAAAGUGAUGUAUAGUUCAGGGCUUAUACAGCCAAUAAAUAACCGCCUGAAAAUUUGUAAAACUUUAA
Molecule: long non-coding RNA, 1711 nt
Organism: Uranotaenia lowii
Lineage: Eukaryota; Metazoa; Arthropoda; Insecta; Diptera; Culicidae
Exons: 3
Source: RefSeq, a predicted model, not a curated record